GCUUACGGCCAUACCAGCCUGGUGUACGCCCGAUCUCGUCUGAUCUCGGAAGCUAAGCAGGGUCGGGCCUGGUUAGUACUUGGAUGGGAGACCGCCUGGGAAUACCAGGUGCUGUAAGCA
Molecule: ribosomal RNA, 120 nt
Filed under: Salmo salar (Atlantic salmon)
Lineage: Eukaryota; Metazoa; Chordata; Actinopteri; Salmoniformes; Salmonidae
Source: RNAcentral